This is a non-coding RNA of Lactuca sativa (garden lettuce), 514 nucleotides long. Lineage: Eukaryota; Viridiplantae; Streptophyta; Magnoliopsida; Asterales; Asteraceae. The record is from RefSeq and is a predicted model, not a curated record.
UCUCUCUCUCUCUCUCUCAGAUCUGAGGCAGAACACCACCUCUCUUACCAUCUCUCUACCAUAUAUGAUAAUGGGGAGGUACUCAAACAAAUCAAAAUAUUGAAGACAAAUAAGAAGAUCGAAGAUCUUGAAAUGAGAAGGAGGCGAUCUUAGGGUUUCAGGAAACGAGAAGGGCGACUGGAAGAGGAGAGAGAUGUAGACAAAUGAUGGGGUAGUGGGUGGUGUUCUUCGUCUUCUAAAGGAUUCAACUGGGAAUCUUUUCCUGUUGCUACAGAGCUAGUGAUCGUCUUCAUGGAGUGGUUGUUAAAACUUCUCCAGCUUCCCCAGUCUUCACAACUCCCUAGAUGAAAUGAUUAAAAGAGAUCUUGAAGUUACAUACCCAGAUCUGCAAACGAGAAGAGGGAAAUCAUAUGGGUGUCUUGAUCGUUUAAUUAAUUUAUAUCAGUUUGAAACGUGAUUUCAUUUCCUUGUUCAAUUUAUGGUUUAAAUCAAAAAGCUCAACUGAAAUUGGUCA